This 248-nucleotide non-coding RNA is filed under the name Bacillus infantis. RNAcentral's name for it is "T-box sequence". It matches the Rfam family "T-box leader". Rfam says of the family: Uncharged tRNA acts as the effector for transcription antitermination of genes in the T-box leader family. The record is from RNAcentral. Lineage: Bacteria; Bacillati; Bacillota; Bacilli; Caryophanales; Bacillaceae.
CGCACGGCAAUGACGAAGAGUAGUAACUUUUGCAGAUGCUUUAGAGAGCUGAUGAAUGGUGGGAAUCAGUGCAGAUGCAAUCGUGAAUGGACUUCCGAGCCUCCAAACCGAACCCUUUUGAGCAGUAGGCUUUGGCGAACAGUCUCAUCGUUACAAGAGACAGAUGGCAGGAAUAUUGUCCUGCUGUCUGUAAAGUGAGCUGAUUGAUCAGCUAAUGAAGGUGGCACCACGGGUUUCUCGUCCUUUUU